RNAcentral lists this unclassified non-coding RNA (175 nucleotides) under uncultured soil eukaryote. Its description in RNAcentral is "sequence contains ITS2". The record is from RNAcentral.
CACCACUCAAGCCCAGCUUGGUGUUGGGGCACCCGGCCGCCUGGCGGUCGGGGCCCCCAAGUACAUCGGCGGUCCCGCCGGGGCUCCGAGCGCAGUAACUCGCGGUAAAACGCGCCCUCGCUCGGCGGCCUCUUCGGGCUUCUAGCCGCUAAACCCGUCCACUGACGUUUUUCGA